UUACAAUAGAUAAACUAAGCCAUUAUUAAAUAAGAUAAAUGAAUUUAAAAAUAAAACAAUAAAAAAAAAUGGCUAAAAGAAAUUCAGCAAACAUUACAGGACUCUUGAUAAUGUAAAUGGUCGGUGGUCCGGAUAAAAGGAAGGAGUGGGCCCAUUGUUGCCCGCGGGUCAUACUUUGCCCACCCUUGGUGUAGAGCUGACGGUGAUGCAGUCAAAUUGAGAAACACUAAGAGGAUUAAUCCCAGCGAGUGAAGCUACUAACCACGGAACAAUAGAAAUGGCGACAAGUAGUGCAUCUGGUCAUUCUUCCCAAGAAGCGAUCGAAAAGUAAACUACUUGGGUACUUACGAGCUGAGCGUGGCGCUGAGGCAGAGGCAGAGUCCUUCUCGGCUGCGGAAGUUCUUGUGUUUGAAGCCGCGCAGCAGCCUUUCCCAAACGUACUGGAGAGACGGGGAGAGCAAAUGAGCAGAGGGAUGAGCAAAGGGAAAAGAUUCCGGCGGGACACUGAGAAGAUUACGAGCGCAAUCGUGCGCGAGUGGGACGGCGACGCGGAUGGCCGAGAGACGAAAACCGCUGCGGCGUUACCGCUGAAGCCAAAAGGGGGCACUAGAGCUCUCAUCUAGGAUGAUGACAGUGAUGUGCUUGUCGAGUGAAGUUUUACCGUGGGCGAGGCCGCCUGCUCCAUGCAGCGAAGGAUGAGCGCUUGGCUGUUCUCCCGACCUGGUCCUUGGCGUCCCCCAGCCGGUCCACCAGCGCUGGCAGGACUACGCAAACGCACACAUAGGACAAAAACAAUGAGGAGUGCCCUCAAGUGGACAUCUCACUAAUGACAGUGCUCGACGGACUCACACAGCCAGUAGCGAUGGUCUUUUGUGAACAAACUCGUUUUUGACGCGGAUGGAGCGGCUCGCUCACCUGUAACCAGGUACCCUCGGAAGGACUCGCCCAGGCGCUCCACAAAGGCGGCACAGAUGUCGAUGCCCAA
Molecule: long non-coding RNA, 985 nt
Organism: Phyllopteryx taeniolatus (common seadragon)
Lineage: Eukaryota; Metazoa; Chordata; Actinopteri; Syngnathiformes; Syngnathidae
Exons: 3
Source: RefSeq, a predicted model, not a curated record